ACGUAGGGGGCAAGCGUUGUCCGGAAUUAUUGGGCGUAAAGAGCACGCAGGUGGUUAAUUAAGUCUGAUGUGAAAGUUCGCAGCUCAACCGCAAAAGGGAAUUUAAAACUGUUAGACUUGAGUCUGGAAGAGGUAAGCGGAAUUCCUAGUGUAGCGGUGAAAUGCGUAGAUAUUAGGAGGAACACCAGUGGCGAAGGCGGCUUACUGGACUGUUACUGACACUCAGGCGCGAAAGCUUGGGGAGCAAACAG
This 251-nucleotide ribosomal RNA is filed under the name uncultured prokaryote. RNAcentral's name for it is "partial 16S rRNA". It matches the Rfam family "Bacterial small subunit ribosomal RNA", at positions 525 to 775 of the family's 1533-position model. The record is from RNAcentral.